Molecule: small RNA, 29 nt
Filed under: Bombyx mori (domestic silkworm)
Lineage: Eukaryota; Metazoa; Arthropoda; Insecta; Lepidoptera; Bombycidae
Description: ovarian small RNA-32548
Source: RNAcentral
UGAUAUGCCGUUUUUUUUACCAAAAAUAG